Molecule: transfer RNA, 77 nt
Filed under: Thermoanaerobaculia bacterium
Lineage: Bacteria; Pseudomonadati; Acidobacteriota; Thermoanaerobaculia
Also listed under: 1 other name
Description: tRNA-Met
Rfam family: tRNA
About the family: Transfer RNA (tRNA) molecules are approximately 80 nucleotides in length. Their secondary structure includes four short double-helical elements and three loops (D, anti-codon, and T loops). Further hydrogen bonds mediate the characteristic L-shaped molecular structure. tRNAs have two regions of fundamental functional importance: the anti-codon, which is responsible for specific mRNA codon recognition, and the 3' end, to which the tRNAs corresponding amino acid is attached (by aminoacyl-tRNA synthetases). tRNAs cope with the degeneracy of the genetic code in two manners: having more than one tRNA (with a specific anti-codon) for a particular amino acid; and 'wobble' base-pairing, i.e. permitting non-standard base-pairing at the 3rd anti-codon position.
Source: RNAcentral
GGCGGUGUAGCUCAGAUGGUUAGAGCGGGCGUCUCAUAAGCGCUAGGUCCCCAGUUCGACUCUGGGCACCGCCACCA